AAGCAUCAGAUCCCCGGGAGCUGAAGUUACGGGUGGUUAUGAGCCACCCAACAUGGAUGCUGGGAACACAGAGUCCUUGUUAGAACUUAAGGAUGUUGGAAGGCAUUCUCAAUGAGGAAUCUCAGAAGAGCUCAGAGACUCAAGCAAUUAUGUCAUUGCCUUGAGACGUAUCAAGGACUUGGAUUCCUGCAGCACUGUAACCUGGCUUAUGCUUCUGCACUUUAUCAGUUGACUGGGAUGUGCCUUCUCCACCAAGUCCUUUCCUGUUGACCAACAGACCAUUAAAUUUGAUAUAUUUGCUCAAGGCACUGAAGUAGAACACUUUCGUCUGUACAGAUUCUCAGCCAGGCCAGGGAUAUGGAGGAAGACACUGCAAAUGAACAACUGGGGGUCUUAGAAGCUGUGGUGUUUUGAAUGAGAUGUCCCCUGUAAGUCUCAGGCAUGCCCGUUGGUGACAUGAGUCUGGGGAAGGAUUAAGAGGUGUGGCCUUGCUGGAGGAGGUGUGCUGUUGAGGGUGGGCUUUGACAUUUCAAAAGACCGUGCCAAACUCAGUGUGCUCUCUACUUCCUGCCUGA
This is a long non-coding RNA of Mastomys coucha (southern multimammate mouse), 575 nucleotides long. RefSeq lists it as uncharacterized. The record is from RefSeq and is a predicted model, not a curated record. Lineage: Eukaryota; Metazoa; Chordata; Mammalia; Rodentia; Muridae. The transcript is spliced from 3 exons.